This 67-nucleotide transfer RNA is filed under the name Polyplax reclinata. RNAcentral describes it as "tRNA-Ser". The record is from RNAcentral. Lineage: Eukaryota; Metazoa; Arthropoda; Insecta; Psocodea; Polyplacidae.
GAGCCAUGGCAGUCCAAUAAUGACUUCUAAUCAGUUAUGAGAGUGAGUAACGUUCACUCAUGGCUCU